Molecule: non-coding RNA, 32 nt
Filed under: Mus musculus (house mouse)
Lineage: Eukaryota; Metazoa; Chordata; Mammalia; Rodentia; Muridae
Source: RNAcentral
UAAGAUUUCACUCUGCCAAAUCAUCAUUGAGU